Cyanistes caeruleus (blue tit) is the source of this 493-nucleotide long non-coding RNA. RefSeq lists it as uncharacterized. NCBI's taxonomy places the organism in Eukaryota, Metazoa, Chordata, Aves, Passeriformes, Paridae. The record is from RefSeq and is a predicted model, not a curated record.
CCGGGAGGUUCCCCCUCCUUGGCUGUUGCAGAGAGGGCCCCGGGGUCUCUGCGGGCUCGGGGUCCCCUCGGGCUGGGCUCCGGUGCUGUCCGGCAGCCGCCGGUGUGGCACCCGCUGCCCGCGGGCCCAUGGCCCCGUGGCCGGGCUCGCCGGGCCUCCCCAGCCCUGCCACGGUUAUUCUUCAGCUCUGGAAGUGCCCCUGGGCCACGCUGAGGGAGUCUAAAGAAAACAGCAAUCAAUUAUGAAAGCCUUACAUUUAAUUAGCACAAUCAAACAGGUUCUUGCUCUUUUCCGAGUAUCUUUGCAGCUGUGUAAUCCUUAGGCGCUGCCUUGUGAGCUUCAUUUGGAAACUGCUCUGGAAUGACCCAUCUUGACAGCACCGUGGAUGCUGUUCCAGGUGGCCUAACACAGAUUAGAAAUGGAAUUCACGCCUGCUGUCUCCUGAGCUGGAAAGAAGGGGCAUAUACAUUCCAAUAAAGCUUUGAAAUACGGA